RNAcentral lists this long non-coding RNA (2227 nucleotides) under Homo sapiens (human). Its description in RNAcentral is "novel transcript". The record is from RNAcentral. Lineage: Eukaryota; Metazoa; Chordata; Mammalia; Primates; Hominidae.
UAAAAGUAAUACAGCUAAGGAUUUUUUUAAAAAAUCAUUUUUAGGCCUCUAUAGGGAGCAAUAUUUAACUUAUAAUAUGAAAGCCUAUUAAUCAGCUUUCAGAUAUUGAGCAUUAAAUGACAUUUUUAGGGAUGAAGACAACAGCAAAGUUGAAUUUAGACCUUGUCAAAAUUUAAGGAGGUCUCCAACAUUAAGGUGUUCCCAACUCCCCAAAAGAAUAUAAGUAUAUUCAAAUAAUGAGUUAGCAAAGUUACCAAGUACAAUGGUGAAAGAAAAAAAAAGAAUACCUGCCCAUAAGAUGUUGUGAAAAAAUACGAGGAUCAAACAUAAAAAAAAAAAUUCAGAUGUAACCACCCACAAAUUUGGGGGCCACAUUCACAUUCAGCAGGAAAUCUUAAGGAGGAGAAUUUAUUCUAAAGUGGUUCUGGGCUGGUUGUGUAGAGAAUAUAAGGUUAAAGGAUAUGUACAUUCAAAUUGACUUUCAACUUAAAAGAUUGCCUACAAUCCUUCCAAAGGCUCCACUGCUCCCAGUUUGAUCUGCCUUCAUGGAAUCACAGAGAUAGCCUAUGUUGGAAGCCAAAGCUGUGUAAUACCCUGACUAUAAUCAUCAUUCUCAGUGCUUUCCUUUACUGUUAUUACCUGAGUGGGAAUAUUACCCUGGCUGAAUUUGGAGUCCCUCUCUCACCAACUGUCCAGCCAUUUCCAAAGUGAGUUUAAUGAGUAUUCUUAUAUCUCUAGUGUUAGCAGAAGACUAGACAACAGAGUGCAUUGAACAGGACUCUCCUGGGCAACGCUGGAACCUCAGACCAGCAUGGGUCAUUUGAACCCAUUCAAUGAAUUAGCGUCUACACAAUGUAUGUAAUCAAGGCCAUCAAGAUGAGAGUAAGGAACUUGCCAUCCAGAAUCUGUGGCUUUUUGUCACAGGACUACAGAACCAACCUCCUUUUGUCUCCAAGCAUGAAGAGCCAGUAUCUGAGAAUUAAAGUCCUCCAGAGAGUAGACUUUAGCUAAUAAUUGGUAGAUAUAUAGUUAUAAGUAUUCCAGCUCUGUUGUUCUGUUUGAGACAACUGUGAUUUGUGACCUGUAUUGUCUCCAGUGUCCCCCUAUUGGAUUGUGCCAAAGUGAUCCUAAAUGGUACCUUGGUUGAUAUCAAAAUAUUGUUCGGCCUUCUUCCUCUCCCUGUUGCAUGGUCCCACUCCCUGGUCACUAUAUUUUUACUUGGACCACUUCCUAAUAUAUCACUUUCCGAUGAGUCCUCAAUCAGAGUCAGCUUAUGGGGAACCCAAUCUAAAGGCACAGCCAAGUUGUUUUCCAAAAUAUUUCUUUUACUUUACACUCUUGCCCUCAAUGUUUGUGGUCCCAUUUCCUCACUAGUAUUUGGUACCAUCGGUCUAACUUUUUGUCAAGUGUGUUGCUUUAAUUACUUUGUAUUGACUAAAUUUAUAUGUUAACUAUGCAUAUUAACUUUUUGGAGUGAUCACUAAAAUAAUGUAAAUAGAAUGUAUAACUUCUUAAUGAGUAGAAAAAAGUAAUGAAUUAAUACAAGGAACUUAGAACGUUUUAAUUACAAAUAAUUGCCUCCCAGGGUAAAUGUUCUUCUUCUCAUUACUUUAGCUCUGUUUUUUCAUCUUCAAAUUAGACAUUUAUGCUAUUGUUUGUUUAGAUUUAGCCAUGUAUUUGCCAUUUUCUUUGCCAGCAUUCCAGACAUUUAUACUAGUACAUUUUCCUUCUUCUAAAGUAUAUCCUAUAGAUAUACUCCUUUAAUAAUGGUCUAUUAGGGAAACUGUGAUGUCUUUCAUUUUCUGAAAAGUUAUUUUAUCCUCAUUCUUUUAAAAUUAUUCUUGUUGAGUCUCUUUGACUUGUGGAACCAUUCAUAUCUCUUUUUUUCUAUAUAAUAUUGUAUUAUGUACCACCAAAACCUUAGUGAUGCAAUAGUUCUUAAAUGACAAUUUCACUUUUUUGUCCUAAAUUUUUCCCGUUAAUCCAUCGUCAUCAGUUUGGCAAGUUUUGAUACAGGUGCUUUUAAUGUUUGCAUGUAAGCAGGCAGUAACUAUUAUGUCACAGCAGCCCCUGGGCCAACAACAAUUCAUAAUUUUGAUUGAUUGUAAUAAACACCUUGAUAUAAGAGAUAUUAAAAAGUGACAAAUUUGAAUAGAAUUGAUGGAAACAGCAUUAUUCUGUAGUCUUUUAGCUUCCAUUUUUGCUAUUAAAAAAUUAUUUGUCAGCC